Molecule: ribosomal RNA, 274 nt
Filed under: uncultured bacterium
Lineage: Bacteria
Description: partial 16S ribosomal RNA
Rfam family: Bacterial small subunit ribosomal RNA
Source: RNAcentral
AUACGGAGGGUGCGAGCGUUAAUCGGAAUUACUGGGCGUAAAGGGUGCGUAGGCGGCUUGAUAAGUCGGAUGUGAAAGCCCCGGGCUUAACCUGGGAAUUGCAUUCGAUACUGUCAGGCUAGAGUAUGUCAGAGGUUGGCGGAAUUCCUGGUGUAGCGGUGAAAUGCGUAGAUAUCAGGAGGAACACCAGUGGCGAAGGCGGCUAACUGGGACAAUACUGACGCUGAGGCACGAAAGCGUGGGGAGCAAACAGGAUUAGAUACCCGAGUAGUCC